GGUAGCUGACAAGUCCCAAGUAGGACGAAACGCACGUCCUGAAU
Molecule: non-coding RNA, 44 nt
Filed under: Schistosoma mansoni
Lineage: Eukaryota; Metazoa; Platyhelminthes; Trematoda; Strigeidida; Schistosomatidae
Source: RNAcentral